Mycena latifolia is the source of this 96-nucleotide non-coding RNA. The record is from the annotation of a GenBank genome assembly. Lineage: Eukaryota; Fungi; Basidiomycota; Agaricomycetes; Agaricales; Mycenaceae.
AGCUUGGUGGCGGACGGUCCGCGCCCACAUUGCAUAGAUGGCAACUCGGAUACAUUAGUCUGUGGGAGGUUCCCCGUUCGACUCGGGGCCAGGCUA